Molecule: unclassified non-coding RNA, 317 nt
Filed under: Utricularia dichotoma
Lineage: Eukaryota; Viridiplantae; Streptophyta; Magnoliopsida; Lamiales; Lentibulariaceae
Description: partial external transcribed spacer
Source: RNAcentral
AUCUCCUGGUCGGAUUUUGUUGCUUGUGCCUCGUACCUCAGUGUCGGCAUCAGCAUUGUCCCAAAGAACGGCCAGUUGUCCCAGUUUUCGUGUCUCGGUGCUCAUGUGUCCCUGUCACGGGGCUGGCUUGGAAACAUCGAUAGCGCUCGCUCAUCGACUACUAACGUUGUCGCGGGCGUGGCGUGAUCGAUGUUCGAUCUCUCGUGCGCGGAAUGCCCAUCGGCGCGGUGGUUCACCGAACCCCGCUAAAUAGACCCUCGAUGAAAAGUCGUCCGAUGCAAUCUUGAGCGACCAUCGUGUACGUGAAUGUGUUUGCC